Molecule: ribosomal RNA, 159 nt
Filed under: Candidatus Caldatribacterium californiense
Lineage: Bacteria; Pseudomonadati; Atribacterota; Atribacteria; Atribacterales; Candidatus Caldatribacteriaceae
Source: RNAcentral
CCCGGUGGCCAUAGCGGAGGGGAAACACCCGGAACCAUUCCGAACCCGGAGUGGGCACCCCAAAAAGUCACAGGACUUUUUGGGGACCCCGCGUUAAGCCCUCCAGCGCCGAUGAUACUGCUCUCGCAAACUGGGCGGGAAAGUAGGACGCUGCCGGGG